UGCCAGCCGCCGCGGUAAUACGGAGGGUGCAAGCGUUGUUCGGAGUUAUUGGGCGUAAAGCGCGUGUAGGCGGUUCGUUAAGUCAGAGGUGAAAGCCCGGGGCUCAACUCCGGGACUGCCUUUGAAACUAGAUGGCUAGAAUAUGGGAGAGGUGAGUGGAAUUCCGAGUGUAGAGGUGAAAUUCGUAGAUAUUCGGAAGAACACCAGUGGCGAAGGCGACUCACUGGACCAUUAUUGACGCUGAGGUGCGAAAGCGUGGGGAGCAAACAGGAUUAGAUA
This 279-nucleotide ribosomal RNA is filed under the name uncultured bacterium. RNAcentral's name for it is "partial 16S ribosomal RNA". It matches the Rfam family "Bacterial small subunit ribosomal RNA", at positions 506 to 784 of the family's 1533-position model. The record is from RNAcentral.